Molecule: RNA transcript, 590 nt
Organism: Diachasmimorpha longicaudata
Lineage: Eukaryota; Metazoa; Arthropoda; Insecta; Hymenoptera; Braconidae
Exons: 3
Source: RefSeq, a predicted model, not a curated record
AUGGCGUAUCAUUUUAUCGAUUUCUUCAACGACGGGAGGAUUGCGAGGGAAAGGGCGGGCUCACAUAUGUUCCUGCGCAUGUACCUGUUCAGUUGUGUUUCAACUGAGUGUUGGUUCGUAAUCUGUCAGAUUGGGAAGCCUCAAACAUCUGAAGAAAAGAUUAUUCGAUGCAGAGGAUCGAUGAAGGGUGGUGAGGAGGCUUUGAUGAGCGAUUACCCUAUUGGUAUCGAUAUGACAGGGGUGUCGACUUGGUUUGGCUCUUUUUGGUGUCAACUCAGACUCGGAAGUCUCUCUGAUUUCUUUAGGGAGUAGUGAAAAUAGGGGUAACCGUAUGUAAUAAUUUCCCCUUGUAAUUAUGUUCAGAACUAUUAUUUCUUCAAAAAACUACAGACAGACUGUCUCCCGUAAAUCAGCCUUGUUCGAUCGUUUGUAAUAACAGGAAGUAAUACACUUAAGUAAAUUGAAUUCUCACCAUAACGAACAUAUCAACUGACACCACCGACAUAUGCCAAGCUGUCAUUGUCAAUGGCCUUUGAUUCAGGGUGAUCAACACAGAUUUCAUUCCUCUACGAUUUCCAUACCAAUUCGAU